Prunus avium (sweet cherry) is the source of this 1357-nucleotide non-coding RNA. The record is from RefSeq and is a predicted model, not a curated record. Lineage: Eukaryota; Viridiplantae; Streptophyta; Magnoliopsida; Rosales; Rosaceae.
CUGGUUGUUUUGGUUAACCGGUUAAAUUAAGGAAAAAAAAUCACCCCUUCAAAACCUAGGACGCGUACUCCAUUUCGUCUAUCUCCUCCUCCACAAUUCUGCACAGCCACAACCCUAAACCCUCGAAAUAACAGGUGCGCAGCUUUCCACAGCCUGAAGAAGCUCCCCCCACUUCGUCUUCUCCAUCUGAAGAGCAGAUUUCAGCCAAAACCCAGAAACCCACUUCGUCUUCUCCAGCUGCUUCCUCCAUCUCGAAUGGAGUGAGGGGACUGAUGUUGGAUGUGUACGAUUUCGAGAACGAUAUCUGGCUUUGCCAUUCUUUUCGGGGGCAAUGUUUCAACUUCAUUGCAUUUGUAAUCUCUCUUCCAUCGUGUCAACUUAACACUUAUUCUUCUUUUGUGUGAAUUUUGAACGGUGUGGCUGUAAAUGAAAUUUUGGGUUUUGCCAAUUAUUUGUUCCUUUUAAAAUUUAAUAUGUGAUUUACAAUUUUGGCUGUAAAUGAGAAUUUGGUAGAUUAUUGUGCAGUUGAUUGAAGAAGUUAGAAAAUUAAAGUUAUGCACUUAACGAACUGCUCUAUUUUUGUCUUUCAGUAACUUGUUGCUCUAGGUAUACAUCGAUUUGUCUUCCCUCUUUGUGCCAAAAGAUAGACAACUCCAAUUUUGCCGCAUAUAUUUUUAUUUUCUGUUAUGAUUGUUAGUAAGUAAUCUCUAUUAAGUCAGCCAACCAUCUUUCAUUUUUGUUUUUUGGUAAUUAAAUCAAGGAUUUUGUUAUCAUGUUUAUAUGAUGUGAGUGAGGUGAUUUUUGGUGCGGUAAAUUGCAAAUCACUAGUGAUUUUGAAUUGUUGUUUCAGUUUUUUCAUUGUUACAAAGUUAGCUUCGUUGGUGCUCUCUGCUCUCUAACUGUUCAUGAACUUCACUGUUUAGUUUGGUCUCUACCCUGAUUACAUGUUAACAAUUCCGGAAAUUAAUUAUUCAAAUUUUGUAUUUAUUUUCCCACUAUGCGUUUCUGGGUUGUUAUAAUGCCUCUGGAUCUGAUUAUAUAUAAAUACCCAUGAGGCCUCUGAUUGUGUAUGAUUUAAUUGUGGUGGGAACUUCACACAGGACUUGGCAAGCAAGUAGAUGUUUCAGUAAUUUGUUGGUUAUCUGAAGCCUGUAUUGCAAGCAUUAGUGCCUGAUCAAGAUCGUGGAGAACAAAAGAAAGGUUUUCUUAGACUGUGUUGCUCGUGAUCUUCUAAGUGCUAGAUAACUUAGUUCAUUUUGAGUAUUUUUAGUUUUAAAUGUAAUUUUUAUUGCGAUUUAAAUAUCAUGUUACAAUGGAUAGAUUUGCAGGUUGUAACUUUGUAUAUUCAAUCAUUGUA